GUUGUUGCAGUUAAAAAGCUCGUAGUUGGAUCUCAGGCUUGUGGCCGGUGGUCCGCUCGAUACGGGUGUGCACUGCCGUGUCCGGCCUACGUCUGGUCUAACGUCCAUAGUGCCCUUAACCGGGUGCUAUGGAAUGCCAGAAAGUUUACUCUGAAAAAAUUAGAGUGCUCAAAGCAAGCCGUUUGUGCUUGAAUACUGUUGCAUGGAAUAAUGGAAUAGGACCUCGGUUCUAUUUUGUUGGUUUUCGGAGUCGAGGUAAUGAUUAAGAGGGACAGACGGGGGCAUUCGUAUUGCGCCGUUAGAGGUGAAAUUCUUGGAUCGGCGCAAGACGAACAACUGCGAAAGCAUUUGCCAAGGAUGUUUUCAUUAAUCAAGAACGAAAGUCAGAGGUUCGAAGACGAUCAGAUACCGUCGUAGUUCUGACCAUAAACGAUGCCAACUGGCGAUCCGCCGCAGUCUGGCUUAAAGGACUCGGCGGGCAGCCUCCGGGAAACCUAAGUCUAUGGGUUCCGGGGGAAGUAUGGUUGCAAAGCUGAAACUUAAAGGAAUUGACGGAAGGGCACCACCAGGAGUGGAGCCUGCGGCUUAAUUUGACUCAACACGGGAAAACUCACCCGGCCAGGAC
Molecule: ribosomal RNA, 625 nt
Filed under: uncultured eukaryote
Lineage: Eukaryota
Description: SSU rRNA
Rfam family: Eukaryotic small subunit ribosomal RNA
Source: RNAcentral